This 446-nucleotide ribosomal RNA is filed under the name uncultured bacterium. RNAcentral's name for it is "bacterial SSU rRNA". It matches the Rfam family "Bacterial small subunit ribosomal RNA", at positions 329 to 792 of the family's 1533-position model. The record is from RNAcentral.
CACCAGACUCCUACGGGAGGCAGCAGUGGGGAAUAUUGCACAAUGGGGGAAACCCUGAUGCAGCGACGCCGCGUGAGCGAUGAAGUAUUUCGGUAUGUAAAGCUCUAUCAGCAGGGAAGAAGAUGACGGUACCUGACUAAGAAGCCCCGGCUAACUACGUGCCAGCAGCCGCGGUAAUACGUAGGGGGCAAGCGUUAUCCGGAUUUACUGGGUGUAAAGGGAGCGUAGACGGCGAUGCAAGCCAGAUGUGAAAGCCCGGGGCUCAACCCCGGGACUGCAUUUGGAACUGUGUGGCUGGAGUGUCGGAGAGGCAGGCGGAAUUCCUAGUGUAGCGGUGAAAUGCGUAGAUAUUAGGAGGAACACCAGUGGCGAAGGCGGCCUGCUGGACGAUGACUGACGUUGAGGCUCGAAAGCGUGGGGAGCAAACAGGAUUAGAUCCCCUAGUA